UUUUUCACUGCCCUAGGGAGCAACGUAACUUUCAACAAACUGUACAAAGUUCGGCAUCGAAACCGCUACUUAUAAUAAUGAUCAUAAUUGGAAAUGGGCGGUGCGACUUUCUCGGCGUCUCUCCGCCGUCCAGCAAAAAAGACUAACUUCAACUUGCACACACUGCUCUGUGUGUGUGUGUGUGUGUUCGUUCGAGCGGUGUGGAGAAGAAACACUGUGACUAUGAUCGCUCGGGAGAGGAGAGGAGGGUACAGCGAUCUCAGUGCCGGACUCCAACAGAACUGA
This 285-nucleotide long non-coding RNA is filed under the name Scleropages formosus (Asian bonytongue). Its description in RNAcentral is "lncRNA (ENSSFOG00015026604.1)". The record is from RNAcentral. Lineage: Eukaryota; Metazoa; Chordata; Actinopteri; Osteoglossiformes; Osteoglossidae.